RNAcentral lists this ribosomal RNA (631 nucleotides) under uncultured bacterium. RNAcentral's name for it is "bacterial SSU rRNA". It matches the Rfam family "Bacterial small subunit ribosomal RNA", at positions 59 to 691 of the family's 1533-position model. The record is from RNAcentral.
CAGUCGAACGGGAAUUACUUUAUUGAAACUUCGGUCGAUUUAAUUUAAUUCUAGUGGCGGACGGGUGAGUAACGCGUGGGUAACCUGCCUUGUACAGGGGGAUAACAGUCAGAAAUGACUGCUAAUACCGCAUAAGCGCACAGGACCGCAUGGUCUGGUGUGAAAAACUCCGGUGGUAUAAGAUGGACCCGCGUUGGAUUAGCUAGUUGGCAGGGUAACGGCCUACCAAGGCGACGAUCCAUAGCCGGCCUGAGAGGGUGAACGGCCACAUUGGGACUGAGACACGGCCCAGACUCCUACGGGAGGCAGCAGUGGGGAAUAUUGCACAAUGGGGGAAACCCUGAUGCAGCGACGCCGCGUGAAGGAAGAAGUAUCUCGGUAUGUAAACUUCUAUCAGCAGGGAAGAAAAUGACGGUACCUGACUAAGAAGCCCCGGCUAACUACGUGCCAGCAGCCGCGGUAAUACGUAGGGGGCAAGCGUUAUCCGGAUUUACUGGGUGUAAAGGGAACGUAGACGGAUGGACAAGUCUGAUGUGAAAGGCUGGGGCUCAACCCCGGGACUGCAUUGGAAACUGCCCGUCUUGAGUGCCGGAGAGGUAAGCGGAAUUCCUAGUGUAGCGGUGAAAUGCGU